ACUCCUACGGGAGGCAGCAGUAGGGAAUCUUCCACAAUGGGCGCAAGCCUGAUGGAGCAACACCGCGUGAGUGAAGAAGGGCUUCGGCUCGUAAAGCUCUGUUGUUAAAGAAGAACACGUAUGAGAGUAACUGUUCAUACGUUGACGGUAUUUAACCAGAAAGUCACGGCUAACUACGUGCCAGCAGCCGCGGUAAUACGUAGGUGGCAAGCGUUAUCCGGAUUUAUUGGGGCGUAAAGAGAGUGCAGGCGGUUUUCUAAGUCUGAUGUGAAAGCCUUCGGCUUAACCGGAGAAGUGCAUCGGAAACUGGAUAACUUGAGUGCAGAAGAGGGUAGUGGAACUCCAUGUGUAGCGGUGGAAUGCGUAGAUAUAUGGAAGAACACCAGUGGCGAAGGCGGCUACCUGGUCUGCAACUGACGCUGAGACUCGAAAGCAUGGGUAGCGAACAGGAUUAGAUACCCUGGUAGGAUAGCG
RNAcentral lists this ribosomal RNA (474 nucleotides) under uncultured bacterium. Its description in RNAcentral is "bacterial SSU rRNA". It matches the Rfam family "Bacterial small subunit ribosomal RNA", at positions 335 to 801 of the family's 1533-position model. The record is from RNAcentral.